This 2906-nucleotide ribosomal RNA is filed under the name Escherichia coli KO11FL. RNAcentral describes it as "bacterial LSU rRNA". It matches the Rfam family "Bacterial large subunit ribosomal RNA". Lineage: Bacteria; Pseudomonadati; Pseudomonadota; Gammaproteobacteria; Enterobacterales; Enterobacteriaceae. The record is from RNAcentral.
GGUUAAGCGACUAAGCGUACACGGUGGAUGCCCUGGCAGUCAGAGGCGAUGAAGGACGUGCUAAUCUGCGAUAAGCGUCGGUAAGGUGAUAUGAACCGUUAUAACCGGCGAUUUCCGAAUGGGGAAACCCAGUGUGAUUCGUCACACUAUCAUUAACUGAAUCCAUAGGUUAAUGAGGCGAACCGGGGGAACUGAAACAUCUAAGUACCCCGAGGAAAAGAAAUCAACCGAGAUUCCCCCAGUAGCGGCGAGCGAACGGGGAGCAGCCCAGAGCCUGAAUCAGUGUGUGUGUUAGUGGAAGCGUCUGGAAAGGCGCGCGAUACAGGGUGACAGCCCCGUACACAAAAAUGCACAUGCUGUGAGCUCGAUGAGUAGGGCGGGACACGUGGUAUCCUGUCUGAAUAUGGGGGGACCAUCCUCCAAGGCUAAAUACUCCUGACUGACCGAUAGUGAACCAGUACCGUGAGGGAAAGGCGAAAAGAACCCCGGCGAGGGGAGUGAAAAAGAACCUGAAACCGUGUACGUACAAGCAGUGGGAGCACGCUUAGGCGUGUGACUGCGUACCUUUUGUAUAAUGGGUCAGCGACUUAUAUUCUGUAGCAAGGUUAACCGAAUAGGGGAGCCGAAGGGAAACCGAGUCUUAACUGGGCGUUAAGUUGCAGGGUAUAGACCCGAAACCCGGUGAUCUAGCCAUGGGCAGGUUGAAGGUUGGGUAACACUAACUGGAGGACCGAACCGACUAAUGUUGAAAAAUUAGCGGAUGACUUGUGGCUGGGGGUGAAAGGCCAAUCAAACCGGGAGAUAGCUGGUUCUCCCCGAAAGCUAUUUAGGUAGCGCCUCGUGAAUUCAUCUCCGGGGGUAGAGCACUGUUUCGGCAAGGGGGUCAUCCCGACUUACCAACCCGAUGCAAACUGCGAAUACCGGAGAAUGUUAUCACGGGAGACACACGGCGGGUGCUAACGUCCGUCGUGAAGAGGGAAACAACCCAGACCGCCAGCUAAGGUCCCAAAGUCAUGGUUAAGUGGGAAACGAUGUGGGAAGGCCCAGACAGCCAGGAUGUUGGCUUAGAAGCAGCCAUCAUUUAAAGAAAGCGUAAUAGCUCACUGGUCGAGUCGGCCUGCGCGGAAGAUGUAACGGGGCUAAACCAUGCACCGAAGCUGCGGCAGCGACGCUGAUGCGUUGUUGGGUAGGGGAGCGUUCUGUAAGCCUGCGAAGGUGUGCUGUGAGGCAUGCUGGAGGUAUCAGAAGUGCGAAUGCUGACAUAAGUAACGAUAAAGCGGGUGAAAAGCCCGCUCGCCGGAAGACCAAGGGUUCCUGUCCAACGUUAAUCGGGGCAGGGUGAGUCGACCCCUAAGGCGAGGCCGAAAGGCGUAGUCGAUGGGAAACAGGUUAAUAUUCCUGUACUUGGUGUUACUGCGAAGGGGGGACGGAGAAGGCUAUGUUGGCCGGGCGACGGUUGUCCCGGUUUAAGCGUGUAGGCUGGUUUUCCAGGCAAAUCCGGAAAAUCAAGGCUGAGGCGUGAUGACGAGGCACUACGGUGCUGAAGCAACAAAUGCCCUGCUUCCAGGAAAAGCCUCUAAGCAUCAGGUAACAUCAAAUCGUACCCCAAACCGACACAGGUGGUCAGGUAGAGAAUACCAAGGCGCUUGAGAGAACUCGGGUGAAGGAACUAGGCAAAAUGGUGCCGUAACUUCGGGAGAAGGCACGCUGAUAUGUAGGUGAAGCGACUUGCUCGUGGAGCUGAAAUCAGUCGAAGAUACCAGCUGGCUGCAACUGUUUAUUAAAAACACAGCACUGUGCAAACACGAAAGUGGACGUAUACGGUGUGACGCCUGCCCGGUGCCGGAAGGUUAAUUGAUGGGGUUAGCGCAAGCGAAGCUCUUGAUCGAAGCCCCGGUAAACGGCGGCCGUAACUAUAACGGUCCUAAGGUAGCGAAAUUCCUUGUCGGGUAAGUUCCGACCUGCACGAAUGGCGUAAUGAUGGCCAGGCUGUCUCCACCCGAGACUCAGUGAAAUUGAACUCGCUGUGAAGAUGCAGUGUACCCGCGGCAAGACGGAAAGACCCCGUGAACCUUUACUAUAGCUUGACACUGAACAUUGAGCCUUGAUGUGUAGGAUAGGUGGGAGGCUUUGAAGUGUGGACGCCAGUCUGCAUGGAGCCGGCCUUGAAAUACCACCCUUUAAUGUUUGAUGUUCUAACGUUGACCCGUAAUCCGGGUUGCGGACAGUGUCUGGUGGGUAGUUUGACUGGGGCGGUCUCCUCCUAAAGAGUAACGGAGGAGCACGAAGGUUGGCUAAUCCUGGUCGGACAUCAGGAGGUUAGUGCAAUGGCAUAAGCCAGCUUGACUGCGAGCGUGACGGCGCGAGCAGGUGCGAAAGCAGGUCAUAGUGAUCCGGUGGUUCUGAAUGGAAGGGCCAUCGCUCAACGGAUAAAAGGUACUCCGGGGAUAACAGGCUGAUACCGCCCAAGAGUUCAUAUCGACGGCGGUGUUUGGCACCUCGAUGUCGGCUCAUCACAUCCUGGGGCUGAAGUAGGUCCCAAGGGUAUGGCUGUUCGCCAUUUAAAGUGGUACGCGAGCUGGGUUUAGAACGUCGUGAGACAGUUCGGUCCCUAUCUGCCGUGGGCGCUGGAGAACUGAGGGGGGCUGCUCCUAGUACGAGAGGACCGGAGUGGACGCAUCACUGGUGUUCGGGUUGUCAUGCCAAUGGCACUGCCCGGUAGCUAAAUGCGGAAGAGAUAAGUGCUGAAAGCAUCUAAGCACGAAACUUGCCCCGAGAUGAGUUCUCCCUGACUCCUUGAGAGUCCUGAAGGAACGUUGAAGACGACGACGUUGAUAGGCCGGGUGUGUAAGCGCAGCGAUGCGUUGAGCUAACCGGUACUAAUGAACCGUGAGGCUUAACCUUAC